RNAcentral lists this ribosomal RNA (633 nucleotides) under bacterium 3e92109. Its description in RNAcentral is "bacterial SSU rRNA". It matches the Rfam family "Bacterial small subunit ribosomal RNA", at positions 231 to 874 of the family's 1533-position model. The record is from RNAcentral.
UCGCGGCCUAUCAGCUUGUUGGUGGGGUAAUGGCCUACCAAGGCGUCGACGGGUAGCCGGCCUGAGAGGGCGACCGGCCACACUGGGACUGAGACACGGCCCAGACUCCUACGGGAGGCAGCAGUGGGGAAUAUUGCGCAAUGGACGAAAGUCUGACGCAGCAACGCCGCGUGAGGGAUGACGGCCUUCGGGUUGUAAACCUCUUUCAGCAGGGACGAAGCGAGAGUGACGGUACCUGCAGAAGAAGGACCGGCCAACUACGUGCCAGCAGCCGCGGUAAUACGUAGGGUCCGAGCGUUGUCCGGAAUUAUUGGGCGUAAAGGGCUCGUAGGCGGUUCGUCACGUCGGGAGUGAAAACUCGGGGCUUAACCCCGAGCCUGCUUCCGAUACGGGCAGACUAGAGGUAGGCAGGGGAGAGCGGAACUCCUGGUGUAGCGGUGGAAUGCGCAGAUAUCAGGAAGAACACCGGUGGCGAAGGCGGCUCUCUGGGCCUUACCUGACGCUGAGGAGCGAAAGCGUGGGUAGCGAACAGGAUUAGAUACCCUGGUAGUCCACGCCGUAAACGUUGGGCGCUAGGUGUGGGGGACAUUCCACGUCCUCCGUGCCGCAGCUAACGCAUUAAGCGCCCCGCCU